RNAcentral lists this ribosomal RNA (743 nucleotides) under uncultured bacterium. Its description in RNAcentral is "bacterial SSU rRNA". It matches the Rfam family "Bacterial small subunit ribosomal RNA", at positions 8 to 796 of the family's 1533-position model. The record is from RNAcentral.
AGAGUUUGAUCCUGGCUCAGAGCGAACGCUGGCGGCAGGCUUAACACAUGCAAGUCGAACGGGCUUCUUCGGAAGUCAGUGGCAGACGGGUGAGUAACACGUGGGAACGUGCCCUUCGGUUCGGAAUAACUCAGGGAAACUUGAGCUAAUACCGGAUACGCCCUUACGGGGAAAGGUUUACUGCCGAAGGAUCGGCCCGCGUCUGAUUAGCUUGUUGGUGGGGUAACGGCCUACCAAGGCGACGAUCAGUAGCUGGUCUGAGAGGAUGAUCAGCCACACUGGGACUGAGACACGGCCAGACUCCUACGGGAGGCAGCAGUGGGGAAUAUUGGACAAUGGGCGCAAGCCUGAUCCAGCCAUGCCGCGUGAGUGAUGAAGGCCUUAGGGUUGUAAAGCUCUUUUGUCCGGGACGAUAAUGACGGUACCGGAAGAAUAAGCCCCGGCUAACUUCGUGCCAGCAGCCGCGGUAAUACGAAGGGGGCUAGCGUUGCUCGGAAUCACUGGGCGUAAAGGGCGCGUAGGCGGCCGAUUAAGUCGGGGGUGAAAGCCUGUGGCUCAACCACAGAAUUGCCUUCGAUACUGGUUGGCUUGAGACCGGAAGAGGACAGCGGAACUGCGAGUGUAGAGGUGAAAUUCGUAGAUAUUCGCAAGAACACCAGUGGCGAAGGCGGCUGUCUGGUCCGGUUCUGACGCUGAGGCGCGAAAGCGUGGGGAGCAAACAGGAUUAGAUACCCUGGUAGUCC